AGCUAUACACUCUGAAUGCACCUGAUCUCGUCUGCUCUCAGAAGCUAAGCAGGGCUGGGCCUGGUUAGUACUUGGAUAGGAAAAAAAAGAGGAAUCAAAAUUU
Cavia porcellus (domestic guinea pig) is the source of this 103-nucleotide ribosomal RNA. The record is from Rfam. NCBI's taxonomy places the organism in Eukaryota, Metazoa, Chordata, Mammalia, Rodentia, Caviidae.